CAUGGCUCAGGGUGAACGCUAGCUACAGGCUUAACACAUGCAAGUCGAGGGGCAUCAGGAAGAAAGCUUGCUUUCUUUGCUGGCGACCGGCGCACGGGUGAGUAACACGUAUCCAACCUGCCCUUUACUCGGGGAUAGCCUUUCGAAAGAAAGAUUAAUACCCGAUAGCAUAAUGAUUCCGCAUGGUUUCAUUAUUAAAGGAUUCCGGUAAAGGAUGGGGAUGCGUUCCAUUAGGUUGUUGGUGAGGUAACGGCCCACCAAGCCUUCGAUGGAUAGGGGUUCUGAGAGGAAGGUCCCCCACAUUGGAACUGAGACACGGUCCAAACUCCUACGGGAGGCAGCAGUGAGGAAUAUUGGUCAAUGGGCGCUAGCCUGAACCAGCCAAGUAGCGUGAAGGAUGAAGGCUCUAUGGGUCGUAAACUUCUUUUAUAUAAGAAUAAAGUGCAGUAUGUAUACUGUUUUGUAUGUAUUAUAUGAAUAAGGAUCGGCUAACUCCGUGCCAGCAGCCGCGGUAAUACGGAGGAUCCGAGCGUUAUCCGGAUUUAUUGGGUUUAAAGGGAGCGUAGGUGGACUGGUAAGUCAGUUGUGAAAGUUUGCGGCUCAACCGUAAAAUUGCAGUUGAUACUGUCAGUCUUGAGUACAGUAGAGGUGGGCGGAAUUCGUGGUGUAGCGGUGAAAUGCUUAGAUAUCACGAAGAACUCCGAUUGCGAAGGCAGCUCACUGGACUGCAACUGACACUGAUGCUCGAAAGUGUGGGUAUCAAACAGGAUUAGAUACCCUGGUAGUCCACACAGUAAACGAUGAAUACUCGCUGUUUGCGAUAUACAGUAAGCGGCCAAGCGAAAGCAUUAAGUAUUCCACCUGGGGAGUACGCCGGCAACGGUGAAACUCAAAGGAAUUGACGGGGGCCCGCACAAGCGGAGGAACAUGUGGUUUAAUUCGAUGAUACGCGAGGAACCUUACCCGGGCUUAAAUUGCAGUGGAAUGAUGUGGAAACAUGUCAGUGAGCAAUCACCGCUGUGAAGGUGCUGCAUGGUUGUCGUCAGCUCGUGCCGUGAGGUGUCGGCUUAAGUGCCAUAACGAGCGCAACCCUUAUCCUUAGUUACUAACAGGUUAUGCUGAGGACUCUAGAGAGACUGCCGUCGUAAGAUGUGAGGAAGGUGGGGAUGACGUCAAAUCAGCACGGCCCUUACGUCCGGGGCUACACACGUGUUACAAUGGGGGGUACAGAAGGCAGCUAGCGGGUGACCGUAUGCUAAUCCCAAAAUCCUCUCUCAGUUCGGAUCGAAGUCUGCAACCCGACUUCGUGAAGCUGGAUUCGCUAGUAAUCGCGCAUCAGCCACGGCGCGGUGAAUACGUUCCCGGGCCUUGUACACACCGCCCGUCAAGCCAUGGGAGCCGGGGGUACCUGAAGUACGUAACCGCAAGGAUCGUCCUAGGGUA
Molecule: ribosomal RNA, 1443 nt
Filed under: uncultured organism
Description: 16S ribosomal RNA
Rfam family: Bacterial small subunit ribosomal RNA
Source: RNAcentral